This 1269-nucleotide long non-coding RNA is filed under the name Phascolarctos cinereus (koala). RNAcentral's name for it is "lncRNA (ENSPCIG00000033840.1)". Lineage: Eukaryota; Metazoa; Chordata; Mammalia; Diprotodontia; Phascolarctidae. The record is from RNAcentral.
AGCAGAGUGAGCUAGAGGCAAGAGAGUCAGCAGUCUAACGAGUUUAAUUUCAAAGGGAGGAAAAUGGCUUACAGGCAAGGAGGGAGAAUAGACACAAGUGCCAGGGUUCCCCCCCCCCCCCAGUGGGGGAGACCCCUUUAGUAGGGCUGGUCCUUAAUUUGCGGCUUGACAAAGAGUCAACCAGUGCAGUGUAGCCGCAGGAGCAACAGUGAGGCACGGUUAUCUGGUGACAAAAGUCCACAGCAGGGCUUCCUGUCUGGGCCUGUUGGUGUUUGCCCAAGCUCAGAGAUCGUCAGUGCCAGAAAGUGAGUGUGUGGGGCAGCUAGGUGACGCAGUGGAUAGAGCACCAGCCCUGGAGUCAGGAGGACUCGAGUUCCAAUCCAGCUUCAGAUACAUACCACUCACUAGCUGUGUGACUCUGGGCAAGUCACUUCACCCCGAUUGCUUCACCAAAAAACAAAAAACAGAAGGUGAGCACAAAGGAUUGUUGUUAUGGCAAGCUCAGGACACAGCCUGCUUGCUGGGCCAUAGCUCUGGAAAGCAGAGUGUCUCCUAACAGUACCUUGACAUCUUCAAUGUCAGAUUUAAAUGACAUCUGAGGACCUUUUCAGCUUCCAUUUCUGUAGUUUUUACACAACAUUUUUACUGUUAUCUUAUUUUGAUACAAAUAGAAAUUGAUUUGAAGACCAUAUGAAAAUACCUGCACUGACUCAGGGUAAAUAUAAUUAAAAAUAGCCUCCUUGUUCAGGCCUUAAUACCUCCUACCCACCUAUUAGAUAAUUGUCUCCUCCUGGUUUUUGUGAGAAAUGUUUGGAAAUUGGUUUUUGCGUUAACUUAACUGUUUCUCCCCACAGGUUUGGGCCCAUUUACACUUGCACAAGAUGCCUGUCUGCACUGGUGGGGUUUGCAGUUCAGAGGAGAAUUUUCCACUGUACCUGCACGUUGUGGAGCAGGUGGGAGACGCUGCCUCCUCGUGCGGGCCUCGAGAGGACCAGUGACCCGCCUGUCGUCCGUCACCCAGAAUCAAGGGCUCUUUUCACCACAACCACCUUUCGGAGCUCGGCGGUGCUGCCUGUGGUCGUCUCCGAGGCGUGCCCGCUUGAUAGCUGUUCAGCCAAUAAUUUGUUCCGCCAAAGCACCUCGUUGAGACCACUUUUGGUGUUGGGAUUAGUUUGAGAAAUUAGCCAAGUAGGCAAGUCUAAUUUAAAUGUUCAGAUCAGAUGAAGCUUAAGAAAUAAACACGAUGGAAAUACUUGUUCUGUUAUUUUU